Triplophysa dalaica is the source of this 2046-nucleotide RNA transcript. It is a transcript of the gene named gastrula zinc finger protein XlCGF49.1-like, with no coding region annotated. Lineage: Eukaryota; Metazoa; Chordata; Actinopteri; Cypriniformes; Nemacheilidae. The record is from RefSeq and is a predicted model, not a curated record. The transcript is spliced from 3 exons.
UCGGUUCCGGUGUCUUCCACUGGUCUCGCAUUCUGUGUGCAAUCCAGUCGUUGAUGAGAUCAGUGUUUGAUACGCGCUCCGAAAAACUGAUGCGCAUAAAAGAUUUGUUAAGGAUUCAAAUCGUGUUGUAUAGCACCACCUGCAGGUUGCAACGACCCGUAGACCACUUGGAUACACUUCCGAACAUUGCGCUGAAGUCCAUUCACUUUAGCGUUACAAGAACACACUCGAAGGUCUGUUCCACCACACAGUGAUGUUCAGUGAAGCCGGGCACAAGAAAAUACAGGAGUAAUUCCUAAAAUCCUGCAAACAACGGGGCCUCUGAAAGUGAAUGAAGUUGAGUCUUCAGUGUCAGAAACAUCAGAAGCUUUUAAUGCUAGAAAUGUCUUCUAGUAGUGUGCAGAAGAACAAUAUUUUCUCUCCAAAAGCAAACCGCAGUACCAAAGGAGGCAAGUCUUUCACCUGCCCUCAUUGUGGAAAGUGUUUCAAACACAUAGGUCAUUUUGAGGACCACAUGAAAGUUCACACUGGAGAGCGCCCAUUCACAUGUUCUCAGUGUGGAAAGGGUUUUAAACGCAGAUGUCAUUUUGUGGAGCACAUGAAAGUUCACACCGGAUCACGGCCAUUCACAUGUACUCAGUGUGGAAAUUGUUUCAAACGCAAAAGUCAUUUUGAGGAACACAUGAAAAUUCACACUGGAGAGCGCCCAUUCACGUGUUCUCAGUGUGGAAAGGGUUUCAAACGCAGAUGUCAUUUUAAGGACCACAUGAGAAUUCACACUGGAGAGCACCCAUACAGGUGUCCUCAGUGUGAAAAGAGUUUUAAACACAAAAAUCAUCUUGAGGACCACAUAAGAAUUCAUACUGGAGAGCGCCCGUUCACAUGUCCUCAGUGUGAAAAGAGUUUCAAACAGAAAAAUCAUCUUGAUGACCACAUAAGAAUUCACACUGGAGAGCGCCCGUUCACAUGUCCUCAGUGUGAAAAGAGUUUCACACAGAAAAAUCAUCUUAAGAAUCAUAUGAGAAUUCACACUGGAGAACCAACACAGUCUCACCAGAGUUUAUGAAGUCGUGCUGAGGGACAUGAUUUCCCCCCUUUCUUUCUCAAUGUACACAAAUCAUUAAAUGCUAAAUUUCGUGCCUAUGCCAUGAACUGCCUCAGACUUUCAAACAGAUAUUAAAUCUUGAGGGGACAUACGUAAAAUCACACAGAAUUUUCAGAAAACAAGUCUUGAGAUGCACCUGUGUACACACACUGGAGAGCGUCCAUGAACAUGUGUUCAUUUGAAUUUGAUGGUGAAGAUGGUGACAUUAUUUCUUCACUGUUCCUUGUUUAGCUAAUGUAUAUUUGUGAGGGUCCUCAGUAACAUGGUGAACAGCCAUUACAACCCACUUGUUGUUGACAUUUUACUGUUCCUCACAUAACAUAUUCUGCUUGUAAAAAUGCUAUUACAGAUAUCAAGAAAUUUUUUAAUUUUCAUAAAAAUCAUAUUCAUGUGGGAAAUAGAAAUGAGUGGCGGCAAGGACAAGGAAACUGUAUUCCUUCAACAUACUAUGAUUUAGGAAAUACCCCUUAUAAUUUCCAAUAAUGUGUAAGACAGGUAGAAUGCAAGUGGUUAUGCAGGAUCAGAGUUUAUAGGAUGAACUUAAGUCAGCUGUUCUUUAACUGAAAACUCAGACUAUGCGGCCCAAUUUGCAUAUUAUGUGUCCUAAUUAGAAUUUUAACUUUAUUGACACCUUUUUUUAAGAAGCUAAUAAGUUAAAAGUUGUAUUUAUUUAUUUUGCAGACCUGUUCCACCAUACCACACAGUGACGUUCAGUGAAGCCAUUAACAAGUAACCGAACACUUCAUUCAAAAGUACCAGUAGAGCAAAUCCAGUGUGACAGUUUAAAAAAAAAACUUAAAUGAAAGUUGGAGACAUGAUUGAGCCAACCCCCUGCAGAAUGCAACAUGAAGAUAUUGACAAACAAAUAGAUAUGUUAAAUGAAGAAAGUGAUGAAAUGAAUGAAGAGGAGAAACAACAGGGUCAGACACCUCAGAAAUUAA